Molecule: ribosomal RNA, 305 nt
Filed under: uncultured bacterium
Lineage: Bacteria
Description: bacterial SSU rRNA
Rfam family: Bacterial small subunit ribosomal RNA
Source: RNAcentral
AUACGCCUACGGGGCGCAGCAGUAGGGAAUCUUCCACAAUGGGCGAAAGCCUGAUGGAGCAACGCCGCGUGGGUGAAGAAGGUCUUCGGAUCGUAAAACCCUGUUGUUAGAGAAGAAAGUGCGUGAGAGUAACUGUUCACGUUUCGACGGUAUCUAACCAGAAAGCCACGGCUAACUACGUGCCAGCAGCCGCGGUAAUACGUAGGUGGCAAGCGUUAUCCGGAUUUAUUGGGCGUAAAGAGAACGCAGGCGGUCUUUUAAGUCUGAUGUGAAAGCCUUCGGCUUAACCGGAGUGGUUCAUUGGG